This 511-nucleotide ribosomal RNA is filed under the name uncultured bacterium. Its description in RNAcentral is "bacterial SSU rRNA". It matches the Rfam family "Bacterial small subunit ribosomal RNA", at positions 17 to 518 of the family's 1533-position model. The record is from RNAcentral.
UUAUGGCUCAGGAUGAACGCUAGCUACAGGCUUAACACAUGCAAGUCGAGGGGCAGCAUUGGGAUAGCUGCUAUCCAGAUGGCGACCGGCGCACGGGUGAGUAACGCGUAUCCAACCUUCCCUAUAGUAGAGAAUAGCCCGGCGAAAGUCGGAUUAAUGCUCUAUGUUGUGUUUUGAGGACACCUGACGAACACCAAAGGUUCACCGCUAUAGGAUGGGGAUGCGUCUGAUUAGCUUGUUGGCGGGGUAACGGCCCACCAAGGCGACGAUCAGUAGGGGUUCUGAGAGGAAGGUCCCCCACAUUGGUACUGAGACACGGACCAAACUCCUACGGGAGGCAGCAGUGAGGAAUAUUGGUCAAUGGGCGAGAGCCUGAACCAGCCAAGUAGCGUGCAGGAAUGACUGCCCUAUGGGUUGUAAACUGCUUUUAUCAGGGAAUAAAGUGCGGCACGUGUGCCGUUUUGUAUGUACCUGAUGAAUAAGGACCGGCUAAUUCCGUGCCAGCCGCUGC